GCUUCUCUCAAUGGAAGUAUGUUCACUUU
Molecule: non-coding RNA, 29 nt
Filed under: Rattus norvegicus (Norway rat)
Lineage: Eukaryota; Metazoa; Chordata; Mammalia; Rodentia; Muridae
Source: RNAcentral